Long non-coding RNA from Eptesicus fuscus (big brown bat), 307 nucleotides. RefSeq lists it as uncharacterized. The record is from RefSeq and is a predicted model, not a curated record. The transcript is spliced from 3 exons. Lineage: Eukaryota; Metazoa; Chordata; Mammalia; Chiroptera; Vespertilionidae.
CUCACGUGCUGUGCUGCUCCGGGGGACCUGAGAGGGAAGGUGGUGGCGAAGGCCCAGGCGGGGGCCGUGCCCAAGUGGAGGCCUCGCCGGGCAGGCUCCUCGAGUGGGAGAUGGCGACGUAACCACAAAACAACGAAUGUCAAGUCCAAUGUAACCCGAGGAUUGUCUGUAUAGGAAGGAUUCCUGGAGAAGAUGACACUUGAGGAGCCCUGAUAUCCCUUGAACAUGCAUACCUUUCCCAGAGAGAGGGACAUGGACCGCGCUGUGCGAGGGACCCCGUCUUCUGCAACAGGAGGGAACAGAGAGA